RNAcentral lists this ribosomal RNA (481 nucleotides) under uncultured bacterium. RNAcentral's name for it is "partial 16S ribosomal RNA". It matches the Rfam family "Bacterial small subunit ribosomal RNA", at positions 28 to 523 of the family's 1533-position model. The record is from RNAcentral.
GACGAACGCUGGCGGCGUGCUUAACACAUGCAAGUCGAACGCUGAAGCCCUUCGGGGUGGAUGAGUGGCGAACGGGUGAGUAACACGUGGGUAAUCUGCACUGCACUCUGGGAUAAGCCUUGGAAACGGGGUCUAAUACCGGAUAGGACACAUCGCCGCAUGGCGUGUGUGUGGAAAGUUCCGGCGGUGCAGGUUGAGCCCGCGGCCGAUCGGCUUGUUGGUGGGGUGAUGGCCUACAAAGGCGAAGAAGGGUAGCCGGCCUGAGAGGGUGACCGGCCACACUGGGACUGAGACACGGCCCAGACUCCUACGGGAGGCAGCAGUGGGGAAUCUUGCGCAAUGGGCGAAAGCCUGGCGCAGCAACGCCGCGUGGGGGAUGACGGCCUUCGGGUUGUAAACCUCUUUCGACCGGGACGAAGGAUUCGUUUGACGGUACCGGUAGAAGAAGCACCGGCUAACUACGUGCCAGCAGCCGCCGUAA